GUACAUACAUCAGAUGUGUCCCAUCAGUAGUUAGAAAUCAGUAGAAGGAUCAUGAGUUUGUACCUUGCAUGUCGCUCACGCAACUUGUCAGGAAAAAGCAUAAUUUACCAGAGAGCUGCUAAUACCCCGGAGCCAGGGAUUGAAGAAAUGACUAUAUGAAAGGAGCUCAUGGUCCUUAUUGAACUGGCCCUAUCCCAACAAUUAAUUCACCCUGGGAUCCUGCUUGGUGUCUGCCUGAAGACCACAGGAUGGCAGCAUGCAAGAGCAUCACUUGGGCGACAGCUGCCCUCCGCUUCUUUUGCUGGACCUUUGUGUGGUGUGGAGAGGAGAGGUGAAAACAUCCAGAGAGGCCUUUCAGUGGGUUUAUUCACAGCUAAGUCUAAAUCUCAGCAUUCACCAUCAGCUGCUGGGAAAGCCUGAUAACUCAUGAAGGCAAGGCUAAAUAAAAACCGCAUUACUGAGACUUCCA
RNAcentral lists this long non-coding RNA (469 nucleotides) under Anas platyrhynchos platyrhynchos (common mallard). RNAcentral's name for it is "lncRNA (ENSAPLG00000030353.1)". The record is from RNAcentral. Lineage: Eukaryota; Metazoa; Chordata; Aves; Anseriformes; Anatidae.